RNAcentral lists this transfer RNA (62 nucleotides) under Loxodonta africana (African savanna elephant). It matches the Rfam family "tRNA", at positions 5 to 66 of the family's 71-position model. Rfam says of the family: Transfer RNA (tRNA) molecules are approximately 80 nucleotides in length. Their secondary structure includes four short double-helical elements and three loops (D, anti-codon, and T loops). Further hydrogen bonds mediate the characteristic L-shaped molecular structure. tRNAs have two regions of fundamental functional importance: the anti-codon, which is responsible for specific mRNA codon recognition, and the 3' end, to which the tRNAs corresponding amino acid is attached (by aminoacyl-tRNA synthetases). tRNAs cope with the degeneracy of the genetic code in two manners: having more than one tRNA (with a specific anti-codon) for a particular amino acid; and 'wobble' base-pairing, i.e. permitting non-standard base-pairing at the 3rd anti-codon position. The record is from Rfam by way of RNAcentral. Lineage: Eukaryota; Metazoa; Chordata; Mammalia; Proboscidea; Elephantidae.
UGGAGGUUCAGUGGUAGAAUUCUCACCUUCCAUGUGGGAGACCCAAGUUCGAUUCCUGGCCA